GAUGAAGAACGCAGCGAAAUGCGAUACGUAAUGUGAAUUGCAGAUUUCAGUGAAUCAUCGAAUCUUUGAACGCACAUUGCGCCCGCCAGCAUUCUGGCGGGCAUGCCUGUUCGAGCGUCAUUUCAACCCUCGAGCCCCCCCGGGGGCCUCGGUGUUGGGGGACGGCACACCAGCCGCCCCCGAAAUGCAGUGGCGACCCCGCCGCAGCCUCCCCUGCGUAGUAGCACACACCUCGCACCGGAGCGCGGAGGCGGUCACGCCGUAAAACGCCCAACUUUCUUAGAGUUGACCUCGGAUCAGGUAGGAAUACCCGCUGAACUUAAGCAUAUCAAUAAGCGGAGGA
This 343-nucleotide unclassified non-coding RNA is filed under the name soil metagenome. RNAcentral describes it as "partial contains 5.8S ribosomal RNA, internal transcribed spacer 2, and large subunit ribosomal RNA". The stretch from base 1 to 120 matches the Rfam family "5.8S ribosomal RNA", at positions 35 to 154 of the family's 154-position model. The record is from RNAcentral.